GACGAACGCUGGCGGCGUGCCUAAUACAUGCAAGUUGAGCGCUGAAGGUUGGUACUUGUACCGACUGGAUGAGCAGCGAACGGGUGAGUAACGCGUGGGGAAUCUGCCUUUGAGCGGGGGACAACAUUUGGAAACGAAUGCUAAUACCGCAUAACAACUUUAAACACAAGUUUUAAGUUUGAAAGAUGCAAUUGCAUCACUCAAAGAUGAUCCCGCGUUGUAUUAGCUAGUUGGUGGGGUAAAGGCUCACCAAGGCGAUGAUACAUAGCCGACCUGAGAGGGUGAUCGGCCACAUUGGGACUGAGACACGGCCCAAACUCCUACGGGAGGCAGCAGUAGGGAAUCUUCGGCAAUGGACGAAAGUCUGACCGAGCAACGCCGCGGGAGUGAAGAAGGUUUUCGGAUCGUAAAACUCUGUUGGUAGAGAAGAACGUUGGUGAGAGUGGAAAGCUCAUCAAGUGACGGUAACUACCCAGAAAGGGACGGCUAACUACGUGCCAGCAGCCGCUGUAA
RNAcentral lists this ribosomal RNA (513 nucleotides) under uncultured bacterium. RNAcentral describes it as "partial 16S ribosomal RNA". It matches the Rfam family "Bacterial small subunit ribosomal RNA", at positions 28 to 523 of the family's 1533-position model. The record is from RNAcentral.